Molecule: long non-coding RNA, 6422 nt
Filed under: Sus scrofa (pig)
Lineage: Eukaryota; Metazoa; Chordata; Mammalia; Artiodactyla; Suidae
Description: lncRNA (ENSSSCG00000054615.1)
Source: RNAcentral
AUUUAACAAGCUAGUUUUCUGUUUCCAUAAAUACAUCUUUUUAUGGGAUAUGUUUCUUGUUUGGGAUUUGGACAAUUCAACUGUUUGCAUUUUCCUCGUGCAAGAUUUACACAGAGGCACAUAUUUAACCAACUAGUUUUCUGUUUCCAAGCUUCUAAUUCCAAUUCCUUCUCUGAGUCUCCCCCGUCUCUCCCUCUCUCAUUCUUUCUCUUUCUCCCUCCUUCCCUCGAUCCUCCUCUCCUCUUUGUAAAGAGCUUGACAGCUCAGUCCCUCCUUGUCUCCCAGGAGCAUGGGCUGGACCAUCUGGUCCUAUGUUCUCUGGUCCCAUCUCUGGGAGACUGCAGGAUAACAGCAGUCCUUUGAAGAAGCCAGCUGCUCUGCGGAUGCCUGGGAAGUUGAAGGAGGCAGCACCACAGGCUGACACUUCCUGCCUCCCCACACCACCCACCCCACACCCCCAGGAAGCUGGCUUAGGAAAGAGAAUGAUACAGGAAGGGCUCUUCUGCUGUUGGCCUGCAAGUGACUCCACUUGGCAGGGGUGGAGGAAGGAAGAGUGUUCAGAGUCCUGGGGGUCCUCCCCUGGGGGCUGCCCAUCUCCCAGUGGCAGGACUCAGCGGCCACCAAGAGGACAGAUGAGGAACUGAUUAUAGGUUCUACUCCCAAACCAGGGGUUUCAAGCUAAUCCUAGUUACUUCACUUGAAAUGUAUGAGGUGAAACCCCAUGAAACUGCCAAUACUUGACUGCUUGGACCUAAAAAAUGGUCAAACCCAAAUCUCACAUGUGGCCACCUAAUCUAUCUUGUAUGACAUCUCUUCAUAAGGAAAUCAUGGAAAACCUUUGGAAGGUCUUCAUGGGUAAUUUUUACUACAUCAUUCCCACGUUUAGAAAUCCCUGUUAACCUCAUGAUAAAGUUAGGUCGCAGAUGCCAUCACAGUGGCAAGGAAGCUCCCUUCAAAGACCUCAGCCUCCCUACCUACGGUGUUCAAUCCCCUUUCUUAGCAGCCAUCCAAUCAGUCUUCUCAACCUUCCCAAACAUUUCUCUUCCUUCACCUUUUGAAGUUCAGUUUAAGUCAUAAGGGUUUCCAACAUUUUUGCUCAGCACACAGUGGGCCCCAAGCACUGUGCGUGUAUUACCUUAGUUUCUUACCAUCGCUCUACAGGUCAGGGGCUGUGGUCUCCAUUUUCAUAUGAAGCAACUGAAUAAUAAAGAGUUUAAGGAAUGUGCUCAAGGUCAUAGCUGGGAAGCAGUAGAGUUGAGAAAUUUCCCAAAGCCAUGUCUUCACCUUUGGCAAGUCAUUAGUUCUCAAAGUGAUUACAUGUGGAAAUGAAAAGGACUAGGCUUGAAAUCUUAAUAUUAUUUCUGACUUCAACCUCUCCUUCUCCUCCAAGUUCUAAUUUUGACUCUUUAUUAGUAUGCCUUUAAACUUGGAGCGACCUAACCCAACCACUAACAUAUAUUAAGAUAUUUUGGUGUGAAUCUCCAAAAUACUUUAAUAGAAAGGCAAUGAAGAAUUGGGAAAUGUGGCCUGAGAGUGUCCGAUACCUGUUCAGAAGAGUGACAACUGGAAAUUCUCUUUACCAUCUUUCAUCUCCAUACAGAUUCUAAUUAGUACCAUGGACUUUUCCAUGAGAUUUUAAGUUGCACCUCCCUAACCUGACCUGUUGAGUGUCAUAAAGUUUUAGUACAUAAAGGUUUUAGUACAGAAUUUGUUUAGAAAUAAUUUCAUACUAAGCCUCCUUUCAGAGGUGAGAACACUGAAGUCAUAAAGGAAGUGACUCAAGGUCACACCUUGUGAUUUGCAGUUAACUUUGAGGGGAAAUCCAUCAUCCAUCUUAGAAGCCAAGGAAAAGGCCAAGGAGUACAGCUGUGGAAAUGGCAUAGGUUAACACAUUAAAAGCUAGAUUACCCAACUAACUUCUGAGAAAGAGAGCAUGAAAUGCUUUCAGGCCUCUUAUAGUGAAUGAACAGAACAUUUUGCUGUUGGCAUAUUUGGUUUAAUCCCUUUGCCUCUAAUACCCAAAAAGAGUCCUUUUUUUUUUUUUUUUUUCCUAAUGUCACAGCCAGCUGUGCUCUAACAUUUCAGCAAAUUAAAAAAUAAUUACCUCAAUAAUGGAUUCGGUGCUGAGUUUAAUCACUCUGAAAAAGUACUCUUCCCUUUAUGGAGCAGUAAAAUUUGCCUUUCUGGAUGGACCAUCAUUUAAAGGUCCCUAAGAACUUUAUGUCUUUGUCAACAUAGAUUGACAUUAACAAUAGAAAAUGAGUAGAUGGCUAGAAGCCAGAGUAUCUACAAGAGGGAAAUAAGUCUAGUCACCAGCAAUAUCCAGGGAGCUGAUUUUAUAAUUACCUAGGUAAGGAGGAAAAACCAACCAACCAACAAAAUCUCACAUUCUGGGAUUCUUUAAUUGACAGAUAUAAUGAGUAGGACAUAAUCAGUUUGUUUAUAAAUUAUAGACUUAUUCUCCCUCUUUCUAUUCACUAGUUUUAUCCAAUUUCUCCAGAGUGAAAUUCCCUAUUUCCAUUGAGCUCCGCCUCAGGCAGAAAGUCAGGUCUUCAUUUCACUCCCUGUUCCACACAGAAAACCCAAGUCCCCAUCCUACCUCUAUAAAGCAAGCAAGUAUUCAACAUGACUAGACACCAAGUUAUCCAUAAGUGAUAUGUUGGCAGGUUAUAUUCAUUAACCAUAAUCAAACAGUGUGGUAAAAAAAACCACUCCACUCCCCAAAUUAGUGGUUUAGAACCAUCCUGUGGUUCUACGAAUCUGUGAGCUGGCUGAUCUUAGCUAGGCUUGGCUGAACUCACUCACUCUCUCAGCAGCUUGCUGGGAGUUAUCUGAUCUAGCCUACACUUGCACCGCUCCACAAACCUCUCAUCCUUCUCCUGGGGCUAGAAGCCAGCCCAGGCAUGUUCCUCUUGCAGAGAUGGCAGAGGUACCAGUGCAAAAGUAAAACAAAUCCACUCAAGACUCAUAUUAGUCCAGAUAUCAUCACUUCCAUCUCAUUCUCUUGAACAAAGCACAUCAUAUAUCCAAACUGGUGGGCAAAAGAUAGGAAAAAAGCACUCCUUGCCAACAUUGGGAAGGCACUUUAAAGUCACAUGGCAAAAGGCAUGAAUAAAGGGUAGUAUAAAUGAUUGUGAACAAUGACAUAAUCUACCAGAGCAGGGAAUCCCUUCCAUUCUGUUCCUGGUGCUCUGAGAUGAGAAUCUUCAUUCUCACUUCUACUCUAAUGACUCAUUUUCUCUCCAGACCACUCUUUCUCUUGAUUUUUAGUUGCCAUUCUAUCCUUUCUCUCUUAUUCUCCCAAGGCAGUCUUAUCUAAGUCUCCUAGAGGGAAAAACUGAUCUCAUGAGACUACCACUGAAAAGUCCAUUUGGAUGUACCUUGAACCUUCAUUUUUGAUUCAUUAAGAUCAAGAUUUAGUUCCAGGCUUUCUCUCUCUCUCUACUUCUUACCAGCUCUGCUUCUCUCUGUGUGGCUUUCCUCAUCUCCCUCCAUGUAGUAGCAAAGAUGGCCACCAGAAGCUUUAAGUCAACUUUUUCCAAACUCAUCACUCCUUCUCCCAAAGUGUACACAGUAACCCUGGCCACAUCUCCAGUUAGCUCUGUUGGGGUCACCUGCUUAGGCUUGUAUCAAUCUCUGCAGAAUAAUCUUAAAUGAAUAAUCAUAUUAGCCAAUACGAAUCAUGUGCCUGCCCUUGUAAAGGAUGGGAGGGGCUCAGAUAUUAUGGCACCGGCAGGACCACAUGGAGUAGGGGAGGAAUUAUUCAAAUGAUCCAGGAGAAGGAAAUUAGGAAAGUUAGCUGGGCAAACAAAAACACUACCUCCUGUAGUACAUCAAAACUAAAGACUUAUAAUGCCUUAUUUGCAUUUCAUUCAACUCUACAUGGUGCACAUUCUAAAUACAAUGGGCCUUGCAGAAUGUUAAUAUUAAUUCAGAUAAUGCACGCUCCCUUUCCCAGUUCCUAUAUCUACUGGUCUCCAUUUGUAUGCAUGAAAACAUUGAUUAGAUAAUUGGAAGAAAAUAAAGAAAACAAUGAUGGAAAAAGAAGGAUUUGAAGAAGACAGGAUGUGAUGGGAAAGAUGGAAAAAUAGAACUCUGCUGUUUUCAUUGAUUUUUAGGGGAGUCAUUUAAAGGGAGUGGGUCAAAGAGUACUUUUGAUAUUCUGGGCCCAAAAAGAAGUUCUUUGAGGUCCAGUUGAAGUGGAAUGCAUGUUUAGAAGGAGGUUCAUUUAGAUACCUCUUACUAGGACAAAUCACCACUUUGGGUACCCUAGGGUCUAGAAGUAGCUGAAGCAACCAGAGUUAUAGCAAUCCUCAUUUUGCUGUGUUGGCAAGGAGACUUCUUUAAGCUGCUUAUUAGAGCUCAGAUGUGGCCAGUGGAAGCCAGAAUAAGAACAAUGUAAGUGCAAAGCACUCCUCUGGGACUGCAGAAGAUAAUAUCCAGCUUGAAGAAUUAUUCAAAUAUUAAACUAAGUCAUUUGACAUUAUGCAAGUCUUUAAAGGAAUAUUCAAAGUAGGACAAACAAAAGAUGGAAAGCAGCACUUGUUAUAAAUUAUUAAUUCUUGGAGUUUCCAUCCUGGCUCAGUGGAAACGAAUCUAACAUCCACGAGGACACAGGUUCGAUUCCUGGCCUCAUUCAGGGGGUUAAGGAUCCGGCUUUACUGUGAGUGGUGGUGUGGUUUGCAGAUGCAGCUCAGAUCUGGCAUUGCUGUGGCUGUGGUGUAGGCUAGCAGCUAUAGCUCUGAUUCAACACCUAGCCAUGGAACCUCCAUAUGGAGGGAGUGAGGCCCUAAAAUACAGAAGACCCCCCAAAAAGUAUUAAUUAUUUAGUUCAUGUUGACACCUACAAACAAAAGGAGAAAUAGAGAAUGGAAUUUAAGAAUCAUUCACUGUAUAAUCCGGGUAAUCCCAAAUAACAUAUUUAAGGCAAUGUCAUUGAAAAAACAAACAAACAAACAAAAACCCCUACACAUUUGAACAAGAAAAGUGCUUUUUCCUACAUAUUCCUUCUCUCAUUCAUUGGAUAAUAUGACAGAUCAUAUGUUUGUAUUCUUCGUUUUCUCUAUUUCAAAGAGUAAGAUCAGAUAUAUAUAUAGCCAUAAUAAAUCAGCAUAGCUUUUGUUUCUCCCCAAAGUUCCACAUAAAAAUAGAGCAACUAGAUAGCAAUACCAAAACCACACACAACAUUUACAACAAAACUAAGCAACAAGGUAGCUCUAAAACACAACCAAUUUCUAGCACUGGAAAGACAGAAGAAUGUCAGGCUCAGUCAUAUUGGAAUAUUGGGUCCCUGGAAUAUUCCUGGGCCCCAAGCUGUUGACCAGGAAAUGUACAGAUAAGCCUAGAAACACCUAUCAGAUAGUUAGAAAGAUACCAAAAAUCUAGGUUCAUGUGGAAACAGAUUCAUAAGCCAAUCUGAAGUUCCCACUAGCCAAAUUGAACACAAAUUGAGUGUCAGUAAAGAUAAGAAUUGCAAACUCAUCACAUAUUUUAAAUCUAUUAAUUAAUAAUGUAAAAAUUGGUCACUUUCAAAGGAUAACAGAAAGCAAAUUUGUUGAUUUAAAAACUGGCAAAUACAUCAAGUAUGUAUUCUGCUUUUCCUGCAUGAACUGUACCACUGGGCAACCAAACAGACCAUGAAGGGAGGUAUCUCAGCUAAUAAAUGCAAAUAAAAUGAUAGAAUUGGCAUAUCAGCACUUACAACCCCCCAGUAAUGAAUGGAUCUAGGCAUCAAUUCCUAUAAGAAUAAAGUAUAAAUCAGAGAGCUUGUCUCUCCUGAUAAAAGAACACAUCACCCAAAGUCUAGCCAAAGGUAGUGAAGUUGAGUCUAAUAAAAGUUUAUUCCAUUGUAAAUUUGCACUGAGGGAUAUAUACUGGGAAUAAUACUGAGGGAUAUAGUUGAACUGCACCAUCAUAAAAUUCACAAAGUCUAGACCAUGCAAAACUUUACCAAACAUCCCAGGUUUUUCAGCAGAUCAAAUUAAGAGAAAGAAAAGGAGAGAAGGAGAAUCUUUAGCUCUAAAAAGAGUAGGUAGUUUGUUACACAGCAGUACUUAGCUGAAACAGCAACUAUGUGGGCUUAAUAUAUAAUCAAUCAUAUAUUAGAAUUUCAGCCUUUGCCUGACUUGCUCUAUAAUUAAAAGUGUUAAUUUUCCAUAUGUCAUUCUCCUCUUUUUUCAACAUCUCCCUUAAUUUCCUACUGUCGACUGAAAGAGGAUAGUACAACCCAGGCUCUAGCAAUAAAAUUCAUAUAUAUUCAUUGAGGCCUUCAUCUCUGGCCUCACCUGGCAUUCGUUUUCUCUUCUUGAAGUCAUAUCAUUUUGAUCCCUCAUGGGCCCUGUGUGAGAGGAGUACUCUUAUUACCUACAUUUUCUUUUGCCUUUAUUCCUUGAUAAGGGUUGGAAAUAGGGUGGGGCAGGAGG